GAUGAACGCUGGCGGCGUGCCUAAUACAUGCAAGUCGAGCGAACAGACGAGAAGCUUGCUCCUCUGAUGUUAGCGGCGGACGGGUGAGUAACACGUGGAUAACCUACCUAUAAGACUGGGAUAACUUCGGGAAACCGGAGCUAAUACCGGAUAAUAUUUUGAACCGCAUGGUUCAAAAGUGAAAGACGGUCUUGCUGUCACUUAUAGAUGGAUCCGCGCUGCAUUAGCUAGUUGGUAAGGUAACGGCUUACCAAGGCAACGAUGCAUAGCCGACCUGAGAGGGUGAUCGGCCACACUGGAACUGAGACACGGUCCAGACUCCUACGGGAGGCAGCAGUAGGGAAUCUUCCGCAAUGGGCGAAAGCCUGACGGAGCAACGCCGCGUGAGUGAUGAAGGUCUUCGGAUCGUAAAACUCUGUUAUUAGGGAAGAACAAAUGUGUAAGUAACUGUGCACGUCUUGACGGUACCUAAUCAGAAAGCCACGGCUAACUACGUG
This 497-nucleotide ribosomal RNA is filed under the name uncultured bacterium. Its description in RNAcentral is "partial 16S ribosomal RNA". It matches the Rfam family "Bacterial small subunit ribosomal RNA", at positions 28 to 507 of the family's 1533-position model. The record is from RNAcentral.